RNAcentral lists this ribosomal RNA (275 nucleotides) under uncultured Oscillibacter sp. RNAcentral's name for it is "partial 16S ribosomal RNA". It matches the Rfam family "Bacterial small subunit ribosomal RNA", at positions 67 to 339 of the family's 1533-position model. Lineage: Bacteria; Bacillati; Bacillota; Clostridia; Eubacteriales; Oscillospiraceae. The record is from RNAcentral.
UGAGGUUUCGGCCAAAGGAAAUGGUUGCUUAGUGGCGGACUGGUGAGUAACGCGUGAGGAACCUGCCUUUCAGAGGGGGACAACAGUUGGAAACGACUGCUAAUACCGCAUGACACAUUGGGGUCGCAUGGCCCCGAUGUCAAAGAUUUAUCGCUGAAAGAUGGCCUCGCGUCUGAUUAGCUAGUUGGUGAGGUAACGGCCCACCAAGGCGACGAUCAGUAGCCGGACUGAGAGGUUGAACGGCCACAUUGGGACUGAGAUACGGCCCAGACUCC